RNAcentral lists this transfer RNA (69 nucleotides) under Utterbackia peninsularis (peninsular floater). Its description in RNAcentral is "tRNA-Ser". Lineage: Eukaryota; Metazoa; Mollusca; Bivalvia; Unionida; Unionidae. The record is from RNAcentral.
GUAGGAGGUACCAGGCUACACACCCUGACUUGAACUCAGGGACAGGGCGUUCAAUUCGCCCAUCUCCUU